GUGAAUCAUCAAAUUUUUGAACGCAUAUUGCACUAUCUGGUAUUCCGGAGAGUAUGCCUAUUUGAGGGUCAUUUGAAAUAAAAUAAAUUUCGAGACUUUUUUGAUAUCAAAUAGGGGUCGGUCUAGCUUUCGUGUGGUGGUCGCCUAAAAUGCUAGACAAGCUCAUUUCUUGGGCUGCGUGAUACUUUUAGUUAUCUCGUGACUUUAUAAGAAAUCUUCGAGUGUGUUAAGAAAUGAGCAAGAAAUAAAUC
This 251-nucleotide unclassified non-coding RNA is filed under the name Archaeospora sp. Its description in RNAcentral is "partial contains 5.8S ribosomal RNA and internal transcribed spacer 2". The stretch from base 1 to 71 matches the Rfam family "5.8S ribosomal RNA", at positions 84 to 154 of the family's 154-position model. The record is from RNAcentral. Lineage: Eukaryota; Fungi; Glomeromycota; Glomeromycetes; Archaeosporales; Archaeosporaceae.